Molecule: long non-coding RNA, 295 nt
Filed under: Gallus gallus (chicken)
Lineage: Eukaryota; Metazoa; Chordata; Aves; Galliformes; Phasianidae
Source: RNAcentral
AUUAUAUACGAGUCCUCUUAUACAUAUCCAGCAGUCUUCCUUCUUGUUGUGCUUAGCAAGCUCGUCUUCGGUCACUUCAAUCAGUCUCCCUUUCAAACCAGUCAGGUCCUUUCCACUUUUAGUUAAUCGAAUCCAAUCCAUGAGACUCCUUCCUGGUUUUAAAGGAACCUUGGUGCGGCCGCCCGCGGCCACCCGUUGCUGGGAGCCGGGCGCGGGGAAGGCCUGCGGCGGCACGUUCAACAUCCUACCGGCCCGGCCUGCACCCGGCGGGCGGGCGGAGCGCUCCGGCACAGCG